This is a non-coding RNA of Marasmius sp. AFHP31, 93 nucleotides long. NCBI's taxonomy places the organism in Eukaryota, Fungi, Basidiomycota, Agaricomycetes, Agaricales, Marasmiaceae. The record is from the annotation of a GenBank genome assembly.
GCCGGUUUAGCUUAGUGGUAGAGCGUUGCACUUGUAUUCGCAAUACUUCGUUGUACAAUGCAAAGGUCGGUUGUUCAAUCCAGCCAACCGGCA